Molecule: long non-coding RNA, 5842 nt
Filed under: Citrus maxima (pomelo)
Lineage: Eukaryota; Viridiplantae; Streptophyta; Magnoliopsida; Sapindales; Rutaceae
Description: long non-coding RNA (CMAX_LNC002831)
Source: RNAcentral
CACAAUAUGUGCCAAGCCCACCUAGCACUGGAACUCGUACCCCGCCACCCUAUGGGCCAAGCCCACCAAAACUCGCUCCUGGCUCGCCAGUCUAUCAACCUCCAAUGGCUCACCCAACACCGGCUGGACCGCCACCGCCACCGCAUCAAAAUCCUCGGUUUCCGGUCUGGUGUGUUGCCAAGCCCACAGUGCCUGACUCGAUAAUUCAAGAGGCCAUGGAUUAUGCAUGCGGAACAGGAGCGGAUUGCAAGCCUAUUCAGACCAAUGGGUCGUGCUUUCAGCCCAAUACUUUGGUUGCACAUGCUUCUUAUGCUUUCAAUAGCUACUGGCAGAAGACAAAGAAUCGUGGAGGAACUUGUGAUUUUGGUGGGAUUGCCAUGCUUGUCACAACUGAUCCAAGUAAGUCCGGUCAAUAAUAUUUUUACACAAAAGAGAGUAUAAACGUUUCCACUUACACAUUUUAAAAUAUAGAUUUGAGAUGGGUCAACAUCAUACUAAUAUGAAUUUUAACUCAACUUUGACUUAUGUAAUAAAAUAAUAUUGUUUAGUCUCACAUCUGAAUUUUAAAAAGUGAGAACAUUUAGCGACAAAAAUAUAAGAAUUGCUUUUUUUUAGAGUUUGUAUAAGUGCAUAACCUUAUUGAAAUAGAAAAAGAAAUACAAAAUAAAAAGACAGUUAAAUUGAUUAAGAGGAUUGGUACCUGUCUAAAUUCUAAUAAUCUUCAUAUAAACUUUUACAAAUAAGAACCGGAGGCUUAUCCCACCAGGUAUAGAAGAAAAAAAAAAUUCAAUAUUAAUUGAGUAAUGGCUACUUGAACUUCUAAAUUUAACAAUAAAAACUAUAUAUAUAAAAAAAAAGAUAUCAAGAUGUUGGUAAUAGGGAAUAUACAUGAUCUAGACAGAAGAUAUGAAGCAUGUUAUGUAGCAUGGGGAUGGUAAUUUGUGGGCUUGGGCUGGGCUUUUCGAAGCCCAGGCUCACAUCAUUCAAACAAAGUCCACACUCUUUAAAAACCUGUCUAAAUUUGGACUGGUUGGGUUCGGGCUUUUUUUUUUUAAAAUUAAUUAUAAAAUAUUUUUUUAUUAAAAAAAUAUAUUUUAAUUAAAGAUAAUCAUCUAAUAUAUAAUAGAAUAAUAAUCCAAUACAUAAAUAUAUUAGUAAUACAACAUAAUAAAAUAAUAAAUACUAAUACAAAAAAUUAAAAUAAUUUAAUAUUUUAAGUUUUUUUAAUUUACAUUAAAUUUAUUUUUUAUUAAUACAAGUCUGAGUUUUUUUGCUAAGCCUUUAUACAGGCCCACUCCUUACCGGCGGGGCCUUAGUCCCGCGGGCCUUGGCUGGCCGCAGCCCGGGCCUUUUGCCACUCCUAACGUAGCAGGACCUAAAGUCCUAAUAAAUACAUUAACCAAAUAAAUUUUGCAAAUCUGAACCAUGCUUACAUUGUCUUCGAUCUUCAUGUUAAACUAUUAAUGUGAAAGUAUAUUUUGCUGCAAAAUCUACUCUGACAUUAUUAAUUAAGCUUAAAAUCAUAAUUAGCGCCUGGAAAAUUACAAAAAACCCCAUCAAUUUUAUUGCCAGCUAAUUACAGAGCCCAUUUGUCAAGACAUUGACAUCUUAACUAGCUAAUAAAUAAAAAUAUCCGUAUCUUAAAUAAUCAAAGUUCAUGGUGUUUCAUCUUGAAUUUAAGUUAUUUAACAGUCAAAAUUUUGUGCAUAUAUGCUUGUCGUUACCUUAGAUUAAUUAUAAUAUCUCAUUUUCCCCUGUUAAUCAAAUUCAUGACUCGUGGAUGGAAACCGAGAGCCCUGGUGCAUGAACUAUUUUGUAAAUCACGUGGACCCCUUUGUGCAUGAAACCACAAGCAAUUAAUUUGUCUUCUUCUUAUUUAUUUUUAUUUUUCGUUUUAUUUUACAGUGAUAUUAUUUGUUAAAAUGCUACAGAAAAAGGAAUAAAAUUACCUUGAUUGAUGGCAGCGAAGACGGCAAGGCCGUGAGUUAAUGAGUUUAGAUCUAGAGUUUUGUUUCUUUUUUUUUACUAUUUGAGUAUUUUUUUUUAUUUGAUUAAAUUAAAAUAUAUUUUGAUUUAAAAAAAAUAUCUCGAGUUUGGUUUUGGGUUCGGGACCUGAUAAAAUUUGUGUAUCUAAAUCCAAAAUAUAUUUGGGACUUGGGCUAAUUCUCGAAAUAUACUCAUUUGUAAUUUUGAAAUCUUUUGAAGAUCAAUACCUGACCUAAAUUAAUCGGAGGCCCAUGAGUAUGAUCCCAUGGAGAAUGUUGUCAUCCCUAGACAAAACGUUUUCAUUUCCAACAACAAUGAAAAAGAAAAUGUCGGUCUGUAGGACACAUAUAGAACAUCUAGACAGAAUCAUAUGCAUUUCGCGGAAAACAAAACUUAGCUUGAUUUUAUCUUUUGGUAUUUUGUAUUCAUUGGUCUAUCCAUACAAAUAAAUUUGUCAGGCAUUUUGACCGUUCAUAUGAAUACAAAUUCUCUAUAUAUGGGUAUAUUAAUGAACACAAAGAUUAUAUUGUGCUUAAAUUUCAUAAUAUUGUUAUGUAGUAUGUAUUAAUUUCCAAACCCUUAUCUGUCCAUUUUUUCAGGUUUCAGUGAUUGCAAUUUCAUCUCCAACUGAUACAGAGAGGAGACAUACAAGUAACCCAGCCAUUGUAAUUAAGCAACUUAUUUAGUUAUUUUGCCCUUCUUCUCUUUUUUUUUAAAAAAAAAUUCAAACCGAGAAUUAAAAAUAUUCAGUAUAGCAUUCAUUAUGUAUGUUGAAUACAAUACAGUAUUGUAUUUUCCGAUCAUAUUAAGAAAAUAGAUGUCAAGUUGUUUGAACAGUCACUCGCGGUUUAGAUGGAUUCACGAACAUAAAAUUAGAAGAAAGUAGCAAAGCCUUUCAUGUCAUUUCUACAUUUAGAGAAAUAUUGUAAAGCUAUGACUAAUUCUGAAAAUUAUUGUCUUUUGAUUUUAUGGUAGCAUAAAUUUUUAGGCGAUCAAAUAAUUUCUCUAACAAUUACUGUGAAACUUCAUGAUGAAAAAGACAUACAAAUCAAAAUUUUAACAUAUUUUUAAUAAGUGAUACGGCCAACGGAGUAAUAAAUUUAUUGGCAACACUGAACUCAGCAGUUCACCUCCCAAUUUAAUUGAGUAGCGUAAAAAUCUUCUCCAUCAAUAUGGGUAGAAUAGAUUAGAUAUUCUUUUGAUAUCAAGUGAGAGUAGAAAUUUGAAUUAUGCUAUAAUAAAUUGACAUGUGAUGCCAAAUCUUUUAGAGUGAUGAUACAAUUAUAAACUCUUGCAUAAAUUUAUCUUGUACAAAUUGAUGUGAAAUUAAUUCAUUAGUUGAAUAAAAAUAUAAAAUAAUAAAAAUAAAUCAUGUGGACUUAGAGAUAUUUAAUUCAAUUAAUUUUAUCAUGCCGCCACAUCAAUUUAUGUACAAAAUAAAUUUAUACCCAAAUUUAUAACUAUAUCAUUACUCAAUCUUUUAACAUGCCCCGUCAAAAUCCAGCAAAUGAUAAUAAAAUAAAAUAAAAAAUAAAUAAAUAAAAGAAGGCUAGGGCAGUGGCAAUGUACUUUUAUUGCUAGUGGGGUUAAAGCCUGUCUGAGCGAAGUAUGCGUAGUCUAUUUCUAUCUUCAAUGGGGUCCAAUUUGAAAAGAAGAGAAACGAAGAAAACAUAACAUCUUUUGAAGUUUUGUUCAAUCGGUAUCCAAAGCACAGGGAAAAAACAAGAUGGGUCCAAUGUCAAUACAUUCUCGCAUAAUUUUCCAUUAAUAAUUGCACGGCCUAUUUCCAUAUACAUUUCAUGCAAAAUUAAGAGUACAUGGGCCCUCGCCCCUUGAAAUUUCAAUGCAUUAUGUUGCAACUUGCAAGUUACCAAACUAUGCCAAAAUUAUUUUGUACAUUUGUGACCGACACCAGCUGGAAAGGAUAAUAGAUGGAUUAAUUUUAAUUUGCUUUUGCUAGGCUGCUACGCGAGCACGAAAUAAAAAUUAUUGAGUCCAGAAAGAAAGAUCUCAAUGUCUUUUUGUCAGCUUAUAGUUUUUAAAUGCAAAGACCUGUUAAAAAAAAAAUGCUAAGAAAAGAAGAUGUGGGUUAAUUAAUGAGUCACAUGCAAUUUGAAAUUUGAGCCAUAUCCUCUCUCAAUCACGGGCUCAACAGGGCACAAAAUGUUAAAAAUGGCCUCAAAUCAAUCAAGUACCUAUUUUCUGGAUCGAGUUAAUUGAAUCCCUUGUUGGGUCACUGUAGAAAAGAGUAUCCUCGAAAAUCCCUGUUGACACUUGACAGUGAACCCACAUGCCUACUACAGUCGGCUUUUGUCAAUAUGUUUACAAAGGUUUGGUAAAGUACAUGAAAGUAAAAAGAUAAUGCUUUUGUAAAAAGAAAAUUUUCUAAAAUUUUCUGAUGUAAGUAGGUUUUUAUUAAUUGACGUUCAUGAAUACAAGUUUUAUGAUCUGGCUAUGGAGAUUAGGUGUUUUGCAUCUCAGAUUGUGAAAGUGAAACAACUUAAAUCAAUAUAUCAUUUGUUUAACUAUCACAGCCAGCUAGCUAGCAUAAUUUUCUCAAUUGGUAAAAGAGGAAUUGUUUAAUAUCAAUAUGUCUAUUACUGAUUUGAGUUUGUCCCCCCCGAGCACUAUUGUCAAAUCGAGACAAAUUACGAAAAAUAAAAAAAAGAUAAUGCUUGAUCCAUUAGUUUCUGUUUUCCCUUUGUCUUUAUAAGAAGGCAUGCAUAUUCAUUCACUCCAUGCGUGAUUCAAUACUCUCUCUACUUCGGAGAGUUGUGGGAGUUUAAUUUUCACGAUGGGUAGAAAACAUCCUUUAGCUAAUUUCUUGAUUCUCCUCUUGAACUUGGGUACGUUGCUAUCUUCUUUAGCAUGUCCAUAUUGCCCUUAUCCUACUCCUCCCCCUCCGUGUCCCCCAACAUUUCCACCAAAACACCCUCCACAUGUAAAGCCACCUUUCCACCCCAAACCACCGCAUCACAAGCCACCCCAUGUCAAACCACCGCACAAGCCCCCGUAUGUUCCUAAACCACCUUAUUCCCCAAGCCCUAAACCGCCUUACGUGCCAAAACCACCUCAUACUCCAGUCCCUAGGCCACCAUAUUUCCCCAAACCACCUUACACACCAAGGCCUAAGCCACCAUAUGCGCCAAAACCACCUUAUACGCCAACCCCUAAGCCACCAUAUUUCCCCAAACCACCUUACACACCAAGGCCGAAGCCACCAUAUGUGCCAAAACCACCUUAUACGCCAGCCCCUAAGCCACCAUAUUUUCCCAAACCACCUUACACACCAAGGCCUAAGCCACCAUAUGCACCAAAACCACCUUAUACGCCAACACCUAAGCCACCAUAUUUCCCCAAACCACCUUACACACCAAGGCCUAAGCCACCGUACGUGCCAAAACCACCGUACACACCAAGGCCUAAGCCACCGUACGUGCCAAAACCACCAUACACACCAACCCCUAAGCCACCGUACGUGCCAAAACCACCUUACACCCCAACCCCUAAGCCACCGUACGUGCCAAAACCACCGUAUACCCCAACUCCUAAGCCACCGUACGUCCCAUCGCCACCUUAUACCCCUCGCCCUAAACCACCGUAUGUACCAUCACCACCUUAUACCCCUAGCCCUAAACCACCGUAUGUGCCAUCACCACCAUAUACCCCAAGCCCUACCCCACCAUAUGUACCAUCACCACCGUAUACCCCAAGCCCACCAUAUGUACCAUCACCACCGUAUACCCCAAGCCCUAGCCCACCACCACCACCAAGUGGAACACCGUGUCCUCCGCCGCCGCCACCAAAGGUGAGACCGUACCCUCCACCACCAUCACAAACUUGUCCCAUUGAUACU